GUCAAGAUUUUUAUAAGCCACCUAGGGGAUGGCUUGGCUCCAGCAGCGAUGACGGACGUGGCAAGCUGCGAUAAGCCCGGGGUAGAUGCAUGUCGAUCUUUGAACCCGGGAUUUCCGAAUCACACGGCAUGAAUAGUGCCGUGAGCCAACGCGUCGAACUGAAAUGUCUUAGUAGACGCAGGAUGAGAAAUCAAACGAGAUUUGCUGAGUAACACGAGCGAAAGGCAAGGAGGGCAAACCGAAUUCCAAUGUGCAAAUGUUGGUAGAUGUGGUCAGAUUAGUCUGGGAAUGCGAGUAGAAGGUUUUGGAAAAAACCGCCAUAGAGAGUGACAGCCUCGUAGACGUAGCAUUUCCAGAUAUGCUGAACUGAGUAGUGCGGCCUGAGUACGUCGCACGAAUACGGGGGCAUUAAACCCCAACCCUAAAUAUUGGCUGGAGACCGAUAGCGAACAAGUAGCGCGAGCGAAAGCUGAAAAGAACCCAUACGUAUGGGAUUGCAAAGAUCUGAAACUAGGUGGUUACGAGAAGGUAUGGUGUGGAAGGAAUGAAUGUCCCAGAAGUCGCCGGUAGUAAUGCCGGCACGAAGGGAAUGGACCAAUAUCAUAUCUUUCUUCUCGAAGCAAGAGCCAGGGAGUGCAUAUGUGUGGCAAGCAUGCUAGUCAUGCGAAGUGAAAGCGAGUGCGCGCAAGCAAUGAGGCGCAGGGCGUGAAAACGCCUAAGUCACCCAUAUUCGACCCGAAGCCAAUGUGAUCUAAUCGCGGCCAGGACGAAGUCGAUUUUACGAUCGAUGGAGGUCCGCAACCUGUCAUGGCAUGUCCUGUUGGGUGAGCUGCGAGUAGGGGCGAUAGACCUAUCGAACUUGGCAAUAGCGGGUCCCCUCCGAAGUAUCUUUAGGAUAGCCUCGGGCGAGCUUGCAUGCGCGGUAGAGCGACCGAUUUAGGGUUAUGAGGUUGAAAAACCUCGUCCCUUUGUCAAACUCCGAAUGCGUAUGCUGCGUAGACCCCGGGAGUCGGCGACGUUGGGUAAGCUAGCGUCACGAUGCCGUAAAGACGGUCUACAUGGUUAAGGUCCCCAAAUCCUAGUUGAGUGUAUCGAAGGAGGGCAUGGUCUUAGACAGUCGGGAGGUAGGCUCAGAAGCAGCCAUCCUUUAAAAAACGCGUAAUAGCGUACCGAUUGAGAUCGUGCUUUCUGAAGAUGGACGGGGCUAAACUAGGUACCGAAACCAUGAUCCAGAAUAGGAGGUAGGAGGGCGUGCUGCACAUCUAGAAGCAUGGGCUUGAGCUCAUGUGGAAUGUGCAGUUGAGAAAAUCCUGGUAUAAGUAACAGCAUAAAAUGGUGAGAAUCCAUUUCGACUGAAGCACAAGGUUUUCCUUGAAAUGAUCGUCAGCUGGGAGUUAGCCGAUCCUAAGAGCUAGGCCAAUCACCAUAGCUCGAAAGGGAAGCAUGUUAAUAUUCAUGCGCUUUGUACGUAGGCGUGGCAACACAAGGUGUAUUUCCGACGUUUGGGGAUAGGGCUGCAAACAGGUGCAAACGGCUGCGGAGUCUCAUUAUGAGGAGAAGCAGCUAAAUGAACUGCCAAUGCCCGAAUUCCUGAUCCAGUGAAAAGGGAAUACGCAACGAUCGUACAAAAUCGUACCUAGAUCCAGUACAGGUGCUGCUGGCUGAAAAAGCCAAGUCGUGUCAGGGGAAUCCUGGUUAGGGAAAUCGGCCAAAUAGUAGCGUAUGUUAUCUACAAGCUAUGCCUGCGAUUAGGAAUUGCAGGUAUCAUUAUCAAGGGGACAGCGACUGUUUAUCAAAAACACAACUCGCCGCACAGCCGUAAGGCUGAGUACAGCGGGUGACGCCUGCUCACCGCUAGUCAGCGAAACCCGGUUUCAACCGGCCUAAGCCCUAGCAAAGAGCGGGAGUAACUCUGACUCUCUUUAGGUAGCGUAAUACCUCGUCGCUUAAUAGGCGACUUGCAUGAAGGGCGUAACGACUGUCCCACUGUCCCAACUAGGAACCUGGUGAAAUUACUACGUGGUGUACAUGCCACGUUCUCUCAGUGGGUAGCGAAGUCUCUAUGAAACUUGACUAUAGUCUGUUGCUGUCGUGUGAAGGGCGUUGCACAGCGUAAGUGGGAGCGUCGAAGCCGGGUUCCGGCCUUGGCUGAGCGUCAAUGUAACACCACUCUUCGCUUUUUACAUGGCUUACUAGAAAUAGGACAACUGCAGAUGGAUAGUUGGACUGGGCGGUUGCUUUCGAUAAAGAAACGAAAGUGAUCGAUGCUCUGCUUAGCUGGUUUGGAAAGCCAGCGUGAAGCGCAAAGGCAAAUGCAGGGCUGACUGUGUUCCGAAAAGCGGGGAACGCAGACUGGAAACAGCGACUUAACGAACGUUGGAUGCUCUUUUAAUGGGGCACCAAGCUGUCAAACAAGUUACUCUAGAGGUAACCGGUUCGUGGCGGGUGAUAGUUCACAUAGACCCCGCCGUUUGAUACACCGAUAUGGGCUUAUCUCAUCCUGGGGGUGCAGGAGCCCCCAAGGGUUGGACUGCUCGUCCAUUAAAGAGAUACAUGAGCUGAGUUCAGUACGUCGCGAGACAGUACGGUAGCAACUACUGGGAGUGUUAGUGUCAGAGGAUAAGAAAUCUUUAAUACGAGAGGAACGAGAUUUCGGCGCCUCUAGUGGACCGGUUGUCGCAAGGCACUGCCGGGUAGCCACGCGCUAAGCGGAUAAGCCCUGAAAGCAUCUAAGGACGAAGCCGCAUCCGAAACGAGACAUUUAGGGUGGGGAUAUUACAUCCCUUUGAUAGGGCGGGCGUGUAAGCAGCGAGCUUCGGCGAGCUGUGAGCGCACCGCAACUAAAUCCUUACAACAAACUUUUG
Molecule: ribosomal RNA, 2864 nt
Filed under: Microcaldota archaeon
Lineage: Archaea; Nanobdellati; Microcaldota
Description: 23S ribosomal RNA
Rfam family: Archaeal large subunit ribosomal RNA
Source: RNAcentral